AACGAACGCUGGCGGCAGGCUUAACACAUGCAAGUCGAACGGAUCCUUCGGGAUUAGUGGCAGACGGGUGAGUAACGCGUGGGAACGUACCCUUUGCUACGGAAUAACUCAGGGAGACUUGAGCUAAUACCGUAUGUGCCCUACGGGGGAAAGAUUUAUCGGCAAAGGAUCGGCCCGCGUUGGAUUAGCUAGUUGGUGGGGUAAUGGCCUACCAAGGCGACGAUCCAUAGCUGGUCUGAGAGGAUGAUCAGCCACACUGGGACUGAGACACGGCCCAGACUCCUACGGGAGGCAGCAGUGGGGAAUAUUGGACAAUGGGCGCAAGCCUGAUCCAGCCAUGCCGCGUGAGUGAUGAAGGUCUUAGGAUUGUAAAGCUCUUUCACCGGUGAAGAUAAUGACGGUAGCCGGAGAAGAAGCCCCGGCUAACUUCGUG
This 433-nucleotide ribosomal RNA is filed under the name uncultured bacterium. Its description in RNAcentral is "partial 16S ribosomal RNA". It matches the Rfam family "Bacterial small subunit ribosomal RNA", at positions 29 to 507 of the family's 1533-position model. The record is from RNAcentral.